UGAGGAAUAUUGGUCAAUGGGCGAGAGCCUGAACCAGCCAAGUCGCGUGAAGGAUGACUGUCUUAUGGAUUGUAAACUUCUUUUAUACGGGAAUAACAAGAGUCACGUGUGGCUCCCUGCAUGUACCGUAUGAAUAAGCAUCGGCUAACUCCGUGCCAGCAGCCGCGGUAAUACGGAGGAUGCGAGCGUUAUCCGGAUUUAUUGGGUUUAAAGGGUGCGUAGGCGGCCUGUUAAGUCAGCGGUGAAAUCUAGGAGCUUAACUCCUAAAUUGCCAUUGAUACUGGCGGGCUUGAGNGUAGAUGAGGUAGGCGGAAUGCGUGGUGUAGCGGUGGAAUGCAUAGAUAUCACGCAGAACUCCGAUUGCGAAGGCAGCUUACUAAGGUACAACUGACGCUGAAGCACGAAAGCGUGGGUAUCAAACAGGAUUAGAUACCCUGGUAGUCCACGCAGUAAACGAUGAUAACUGGGCGUAUGCGAUAUACAGUAUGCUCCUAAGCGAAAGCGUUAAGUUAUCCACCUGGGGAGUACGCCGGCAACGGUG
This 541-nucleotide ribosomal RNA is filed under the name uncultured bacterium. RNAcentral's name for it is "bacterial SSU rRNA". It matches the Rfam family "Bacterial small subunit ribosomal RNA", at positions 355 to 896 of the family's 1533-position model. The record is from RNAcentral.